UCGUUCAUAGCUAAACCUGCGAAUUUCAUAUGAUUUGUUUUUUUAGUUGCAUUUUAUUUGUUGUGGUGGUUUCAUCAUCAAAGAAUUGGUUGGAGGAUUUCAAAUAUGCACAUGAGCAGGUUGCAGGAGUUGCUAUGAUCUUUGAGGUGCAAAGAAGUGCUAGAUCAAAAGCCAGAAAGGAGGAAGUACGCAAACAAGAACUUGAGGUUCAAAUAGACAAAUAUAUUUAAUGUUAAAAAAAUGGUCACUCUCAUCCCACAGCCCGCAUCCCACUUGCCAAGCAAAGGAAAUGGUCACUCUCACGGAUUGGGAAGUUGUGGAGGGGCCACAAAUCAGAGUUGAAGGAAAAGCAUUGCAACCUGAACACAACUAAGGAAUAUUUACUUCAACUAUCACUGCCGGAGGUUGAUGACACUCAAUUUCAUGGCUUGGUGGAGUAUUGGUUCUCUAAAGAUUUUAAGGAGCUGUCAGAAGAUAACAAAGCGCGGCGUGGCAAGUAGACAAAGCUGCAAACGCUCGGAUCCAGAAGCAUGGCCCAGACGACGGAUAUCAUUGCAAAAAAGAAAGGCAAGCAACUAGAGAGAAGUGAGAUGUACGCAGUGGCGUAUUCUCACCAUGAUGGUGUUGCUGUGAAUGCCACUGCGGAAGCGAACAUUGCAAAGAUGAAACAUCUUAUGACAGAGGGGUCACAGUUGCGGGGAAAUGACAUUGAGGCAGGCAUACUUUGGCAGCCCGACGAUGCAUUUGCACAGGUCCUCGGUGCAGAGAGAAGUGGUUGUGUUAAAGGGGUAGGCUUUGGUCCAACCCCCUCUAGAAAAUCGUGCGAGGUCAAUGGAUGAUAGUACGCCACCUCUAACAUCUACUACAACUGAACAAAAGGUUAUCGAGUUGUCUACUAAAGUAGAAGAAAUGAAGGAGAAAUGCGCGUGUUAUGAUGCUGAAAUGAAGGAGAAAUGUGCGCAUUAUGAUGCUAAAAUUAGGUUAAUGCAGAGGAUGUUGACGUCACUGUACCCAUCGUUUCCCAGUCUGUCUACGGAUGGUGAUGGUGAUUCUGCAGUGGAUAUCCAGUCUCUCGGUGCUCAACACUUAUCAUUUGAUGAUACGCAAUAGGCAAUACUUUUGGCACCUAUUUUGGAGUAGUUAUUAUGAUAUUUUGAUAUUUAUAAUAAAGUUUCAAACUUUGAUACAUAUGUACACAUCAUAGUUGGAAACUUUAUUAUAACAUUCUAGACAAUUAGAAUGUAUUCUUUUGUGCAGGACAUUCUAUAUAGUUAGAAUGUAUUC
Molecule: long non-coding RNA, 1284 nt
Organism: Quercus lobata
Lineage: Eukaryota; Viridiplantae; Streptophyta; Magnoliopsida; Fagales; Fagaceae
Exons: 6
Source: RefSeq, a predicted model, not a curated record